Molecule: long non-coding RNA, 13166 nt
Organism: Motacilla alba alba
Lineage: Eukaryota; Metazoa; Chordata; Aves; Passeriformes; Motacillidae
Exons: 6
Source: RefSeq, a predicted model, not a curated record
CCCCAUCACUGAAAUGGAACAUCUCUUUGUCUCUUACAGCUUUCAGCAAGACUUUUAUUGAAGAGACAUGGAGGAGAGGAAAAAUGCAGACAAGGUGCUUUCUAGCAUUUCAUAUCAAGAGCUGCAGCCAACAAGAUCACAAAUGCCUCAGAUGGCAAAGAGAAAGGGAUUCAGUUUCACCUGGACUCCUUAUUUCCACUAAAAACCUCCCCUUUAUCUGCAGCACUGUAAGAUCCAUCAGCUGCUUCAUUCAGGCCUACUAAAAAUUAAGUCUCUUUAUAUGUGGAGAAUAGUGAAAGAAAGUGAAGCUAGGAGUUCUUGACACUGUUUUCUGCUAUACUUAGAACUGCAUGUGAAAUACCAGCCACCUUCUUCACCUUCUUCACAAAAGUAGCAGAAAAGACUUUUCAAUAUGGUUUGUAACAACAUUCUCUCUUGUAAUACAUCAGUCACAUCAACAGCAAAAUGGGAAAAAAAAAUCACGGAAAAAAUAUAUGAGAGGAUGGGCAUCCUAAACCUGAUCAGUGAUGAUGUGGGGGAGAUACGUCUCUUUUAUGUCGUCUUUUUUCAAAACUGGAAUUAUUUUGCAAAUUGACCACUCUCUUAUAUAAUGAUUCUGAUUUUCAGAAGACAAUUUUUGGACAGAACUUUAUAAUUUCUAUAAGACAUAUACUGAAUAGAUGUUAGGAUAACUAGAUCAUUUGAACAACUGGGAUCCUUCUUUAACAGAAUUUCCUUGAUUUAAAUUUCUGCUUCAUGUAGUAUGUGAAAGGAAGCUGCAUAUUCAGAAAAUUGAGUGGCAAGGCCUGCUUAAAAGACUGGCUGUUGUGCCUAUUACUGACAGUGAAAGCUGAAAUUUCUGUUGUAUUUCAGUUAUAUUUUGGUGAUAGGAGCAUUUAAAAUUAGCUUUAAAUGUAUUGGAAAUAAGUCUAGCUCUUAUUUUGAGAAGGACUUUUUGGCUUCUCCUGUCUAUUCUCUCCUCCUAACUCUAUACAGGCCAUGUCUCUCAAGGCACUGGAAACAACAGAUUAGCACAUUUUUCAUGAGGAACUAUUGAACUUCUGCUCAUUAACUGUGUUUCUUCAACUCUCCUGCCUGACACCACACAGAGUGCCAGGCUGUGGCUGGGCUGACAAGGCUUUGUUGUGUCUCAUUCUAAUAAAAAGCACAAUCAGCUGGUGCAGUGAAAAAAAUAUUGGUUUAUCAGAGAUAAAGAAAACAAAUUAUUCACAGGGAAAUGAUCCAUAAUUGCUUGUGAUUGAAGUCUUUAAGAAUUACUUGUAGGAGAAGAAAGGAAUUGCAUAAUAAAUUUAACUCCUUGGUUUGUUCUCAGAACAUGAGUGAAUUGGGGCAAAACUUUCCUAUGAGCCAAAACACAGAAAUGCUGAUCAUGCUCUUCAGCAGGCCUCUUAAAUGUGCUUUUACUGAAUUGAAUGCUACCACCAAUUCAUUUUGUAAUGGAAGAAAAAGAAGGUGGCAACCUUGUGAAAGUAUCCUUUUAUCAGACAAGACAGAAGGCAGAAAAUGAAUUGGAAAAAUUCUUUUGAGACCUCUCUCCUCACCAGUCCAAAAAAUGAAUACAAAUCUAAUGGUAUUGUUUGAAGAAUGAAAAAAUAUGGGCACAAGAAAGUACUCUCAGUUUACCAGAACGAGGCCUGUCACAGAGACCAUCACUGCGUCCUUCUCCACAUCCCUUUCCAAUACAUUUUGGUAGUUGCUGUACUCUGGUACCAACCAUCCAUGCUUCACCACAGGGGAGUCUGCAGUUCUGUUUUGGCUGAGGAAUUCAUGGGUUGCAGGGAUAAGAGACCAAAGGACAGCAGAAAAUGGCAAAAAGGCAAGAUAAAUCUUGUGGUACCCUCUGAUCUCCAUGGUCUGUCUGCCAGCAGUUACCCCAUGCAGAGUGCAGAUGCACACACAUAAAUACACACUGCCAGCCUCCCUCUUCCCUGCAGUUGACUUUGCCAUGCCACCUGUGCUCAUACCACAGGAAGAUAUUCCUUAUUCCUAGGCUUGCUAGAAGGAGGGGAAUGAGGGAUGGAAAAGGAGGUUGCUGCCUGGAUGCAGGGCCUGAGGGGUUCUGUCAGGCACCUUCCCCCCAAUGACUGUCUCACUGUGCCCACCACAGGUCAGGGGAGACUGCUGGUCACAGACUAAUAUCAGUAAUUGCACAGGAUAUGUCACUUUGUGUGUCUGAUGGACAACUGCCAUGGUAAUUGCUUAUCCCCAUACUGUGUACACAGUGACUGAUAGAUUUCUCAUGAGCAAUCAAGACUCUGGACAGAGAAGGAUUAGAGACAAAAAUUCAUAUAUAUUUCAACAUACAGUUGCCGAUGUAAAAGGCUGAUGCCUAGUUGUUCUAGGUGCCAGAAUAGAUUAUUAUGGUCACAGGGCUGAGGUUAUAUCGAGUUUGUAUUCUAACGUCCCAGUUUUAAUGUCUAAUAACGUUCAGACACUUUUCUCUGAUCCAGAAAGGGUUUCUGUCCAAACAUAACUUUAUUUGUAAACUUUGAAAAAUAAUGGUUCUUGGGGUUUUUUUCCCAUCCCAAAAAUUAUUCAGGUCUGUACUUUGAUCAUGGGCUGCUGAAAACAGGAUUUGAAUCAGACUAAAUCCGCCUGCUUGCUGUCAGGGCAUGCCCAAGGAGAGGCAUCAGCAAGUCUUCUGUUAAAACUGGAUCCAACCUAUAUAUAUCAGGACUUAUCUUCUGUACAGUAACAGUGUAGGACAAAAAAUAUCUCUGCCAGAGAAAGUGAAAGAAGUGAGCUCAGUGUGAGAAUAAACAAGGAAUGUGGGUGAAGAAGGAAAGUGUGGUGUGCUGUACCUGGGAAUUCUGAGAGAGAUAGUGAAGGAGGACAAAAGGAUGAACUUGAAUGUCACAGACAGAGCAACGGGAAUUAUCCCAGAAUAUGAACAGAUUCUCUUAACCAGGAGGUGAUAUCUGCUCUGGCUAGCCCAAAUCCAUGUGCCUGUGGAAUGGUCUUGCAGGUGCUUCCUCUGCUUGGGGUUUUGUUCACCUUCACCCGGGGAAAAGAGAAUUGAAGUUCUUCUUUCUAAGACUCUUCACCGGGCCAGUUCUUUUGGACUCCUGCAUGACCUCGAGUAUGUUCACUCCUAGAGCAGCUCAACUGUCACAAACAAACAGCACCAAAAUACUUUGAAGGAAGUCUGCAGAUGUUUUCCAAGGAGCGUGAUACUCUGUCCACAGGGGAAACAACCUCAAGGUUUUAUCUAGAACCCUAAUGGUUUAGCUAAAACACUUCUUCUGGGAGAGAAUACAGGACUCGUGGAAGAUUGAGGUUUAAAGCUGUUUCAAGCAAAAGAAAAUUACAGAAGUUGUUUAGUUCUAUACAUGUAAGAUGCGUAUUCUUUUUACAAUUUUGUUGGUUUACUGGGAUUUAUUCAACAUUGAUAGAGAGAUAAGCAUUAUUAUUUUUCACUGCUGUUUCAUUUUUAUAACCUGAUCUGUCCUCCAUGAACAGCAUGAAAACUGUACUAGAUACAGCCAAGAAUUUUCAUAGAUAUAUUUACCAAUGAAAGUAUAAUUUUUUUGCUGUAAAUGACCUUCAGGUCAAAUAGAUAAAUAGAUAUUUUAGAACAGUGAAAAGAUAGAAAAUAAUUAUUUUCUUCUUUUUCUCUUUGCCCAGCUAUGGUAAGUCCAAAGGAUGAUCUACAUCUCCUCAUAUUGAUGAGUGUUUUAGUAUUUUAACUAGUGGAAUAGAGAAAUAUUUAUGUUUCCUGGUCUGUUUUAAUGCAUGAGAAAACUUUAUAUGGUUAAUAUUAGUAUGGAAAACUUUAUAUGGUUAGUAUUUAUCCUAGAUAUCUCUUGAAUGUAAAAGUAUGGCCUCUGCAUCUUCAGUUUUGUUGUGUUGUGGAUUUCUAUACCUGCUCCUUGUGGAACACAAGCACAUUUUCAUGGUUUCAGAGAGGACUGGAAAUUAUAUAGAACCAUCUGAUAACCUAAUCAUUCUCUUAUAAAUCAUCAGGUUAGGCUUUACUUUACAUAUUUCAUUAGUAUCCCUUCAAAGAGCAGGAGAGAUUUUUUGGCAAGACUCAAGCAGUUUCAUCAUUAGAGAUCUCUUAGAACUUGCUAGACAAACAUCUAUUUCAAGCGUCAUAAAACAAAUUAAUCUUACUUUUGGACAGAGUGAUAAAUUAGAUAGCCCCUAGCACCACUUUCUGUCCCAUGAUUAGAUCAUGUUUCCUGAAAAAGAGCAUAUAAUAUGAUUUCUGGUUCUGAAUCAGGCUGGAGAUUGACCCUGUUGACCAGAUGGUCACUUCUCAGCAGAUUUGCAGGGUGUGUGGAAAAGGAAAAGAAAGUCAAGGGUGGGUUUAUAGGUGGAUGUUGAAUAAAACCGUAUGGAAAAUAUAAUGAGCAGCAGGAGAGUGUAAGACAUUCCAUCAUCUGAGAAUCCAAGAAUUAACUCUUUAGCCUAGCAUGUAGCCUGAGAUAGCUCACAGAGAUUAAAAAAUAGUGAAAGGAUAAAUUUUAGCUGCUGUUUUGGAGUAGGAUGAAAGAAAUUUUAAGUGUACAGAAAUAUAAUUUUGGCCAUUCUUGUCAGCAGUUUGAGGAGCAAUAAAGGCACAUGACAUUUAUCAUAGUGUUAAAGUCUUAGAAAUAAAAAAUAACAAUUAUCAGAAAAGAUCCGGAAAAUAUGUUAGAACAUUUGUUUUUCACCCCUUCUCUCUCAGCCUGUGAAAGCUGAGAAAUCUAACAGUUUAGAAGUUCAAAAUCCUUUGUAUGCAGUAGAAAUUACUGUCUGUGCUACAACAGCAUCUGGAGACUCUUAAAAGAGUUUUGGCCUUUUGUAUGCAAAUACAUACCCAGUAUGCACAGAAGCAAUGCAUUUCCCACAGAGUUCAAAUCCCUGUCACAAAAGAUAGGAAUGACAUUCCUAGUUUAUGUGGGACAUGGUUCAUUUUUUGUUUGUUUGUUUGUUUUCUUUGUUUGAUUUUGUUGUUGUUUGUUUUGAUGUUAAAAUUGUGGUAAAAAUGCAGGGCAAGAGUAUAUACAUUGCUUGCAAAUCACCCAGGAAGCCUAUGGUACAUAUUAGAACCGAGCCUAUCACUGCCAAACAUCCCUCUGCAAGCAUAUAAUGAUUUCAGUUUUAAGCAGACAGUAAUUUUACAAUCAGAUCUAAAAGCUGCAAGACAUCACUUGAAGGGAUCCAAUGGCUGGCCCAUGACAUCUGCUGAUAAACUAUGUAGGAGCCACAAGAAGAGGUUGCAAUAUAUUUGUAGGUAUGUUUGCAUAGCCAGUAGUGUGCAUCUGCAAUGGAGGUACUGUUUAUGCAAGGAGUGCCUUUCUAGGACAUGUGUCAGAAUAGUAUCAGCAAUGCAAUUUGUCAAUGCGAAAACCUGAGUAAUUGAAGUAGAAGGCUAUGAGAGAGAGGAAAAAAAAUCACUUCUCAUGAUGCCUUAGAAGAUAUAGAGGAGAUUUCUGUAUCAAAUGCCUGAAGCAUAAUCUCUAGACACUUCAGAAUAUUGAAGGAACUGCAUUCCCUCCUUGAGAAGCUUGUUGGAUGAAAAUGGAAAUCUGCUACUGCAUUUUAGAAGGUAAUUAUUGAAGUGAAAACUUUAUCAGAUUAUAUUCUGAGCACUUGGCCAUCUCACAUGAAUCCAUAAUUUGUUGUUCUACAGGGUCACAGAUCACCAUGAUAUCAACAAGUCCCAGAAGACUUAGCUUCGUUGACAAAACUGGGAACAAUAUUAAGUGACCAAAAUAAAAGAAACACCACUUGGAGAUCAGGGAAAAGAAACAAAACUGAGAUGUUUCCUGUAGUCACACAGUGUAUAACAAAUACUGCAUGUAGUCAAAUCAAAAUGAUCUGUUUGGUGAAAACAGGAAGAGACCCAUAUGAAGUAGCCAGAAUAGGAUGAGGUUUGAGCUAAAUAAAUAUAUAUUAAACAUUUUUCACUUCCAUUCAGUGUUAGAAAUAUCAAAACACAAAAUCCACAAUAUAUGCUAAGUUUGUGGAUAAAAAAAUAAAAGGAAAUUAAAAAAUUAUAUGUGGAGCUUUCAGCUAUGUUCAGGGCAUAUCUCCCUAAAUUGUAAUAGAAAUGUUUUACUAUCCAUUGUCUAACUUGUAAAAUAUUCUAUUUGGAAAUAAAUGAUAUAAACUCCACAUAGGAAGGUUUCUUUUUAAGAAAUCUGUAUGAUCACUACUUUUUUUAUUAUGACACUGAUUUAUUAGAAAGUGACUUCAGUUCUUUAACAUUAUUUAUCUAAGGAAAUUAACACAAAGAAUAUAAUUUCAAGAAAUCUUUACCUGAAGGAAAGAAGUUGCUAGAAUUGAAUAAACUUACAGGAGAUUAUUUGCUAUAAUACUUAACAGGUUUUUUAAAUACUUAUGCAUUAUAGCACUUCCAUAGAUAGGUUAGCUAAAUCUUUGGCAAAAUAUAUUUAGGUUUGCUCUACAGGCCAUGCUCCUGACUGUUGCCAGGCACAGAUAGCUGUGGAAACUGAAGUAAUGGAUUUGUUCACUGCUCAAGGAUAGGGUUCCUGAAGCAGAUCUGACCUGGACCAAAGCAUGGGUCUAUUUAUAUCUUUAUGCCUACUGGGUUCCCUGUUGAGCAUUCCUGACUUGCUGCCAAUCCAUGGGUUACAUUUUCCAGACAGUCUCUUCAGUGACUGAGACCUUCCCUACUGCCCUGUCAGUUAUGGUAUGGUGAGAAUCAGAUUACGCAAACAUGGCAGAAAGAUGGAGUGCAGUAGAGAGGAGGGUGGAAACAUUGGCUGUGGAAGGGACACCAUCUGUCCAACUGGAGGAACUCAGGUUUAGCUGGAGGAGCUCUGGCUUUUUCUUUUUUUUUUUUUUUUUUUUUUUUUUUUGGCUGGCUGACAUGACAGACAAGGUUUGUGAAGAACAAUAAAACUCAUUUUUAUAGUUAGAGCACAGUGUCUUCACUCUUCUGGGCCAGUGGGAAAACAAUCCCCUGAAUGAGCCUACUUGCAACUAUUCACUUAGCAGAGGUAUUCCUGUCCACUACUGCUUGCCACCAAAGGCUUCUUUUGGAUAAACUCUACACUGGUGUUUAACCAAGGUAAACAGAAAGGAGACUUGGAAGUCCUACUCAUAGUUGUAUCUGAGUAGAAACCCUGAACCAAGAGCCAAACAUGCAAAAAAAUGUUAUUUCAUUGCACAUUGGAAUAUUUUUCAGCUACUCUUACCUAUGCUGAAGGUUAAGGAGAGGGAAUGUGACAGAAUAAAAGCAAAAAACCUGUAAUGUAGUGACUAGAGUGCCUAGUCUGUAGGCACCUGUCUCCUGAAAGAGGACAGAAGCAGGGGAUUUGGUACCUCACCUUCAUGUGCAGUGUGUGCAGGGGGUUGUAAGCUUUGCCAUGAAAACUUUCAUUGCAACUGAGGGACACCUUGGGCUACUCAGCAGAGAAGCACCAAGCUGACAAAUGAGACUGAGCAAACUCUGGUUCUCACACAGGUAGAGAAGCAAGGAGAGUUUUGUCUCCUUGAUGCCAUCAUCUCCUUGAUGUCUCCUUGAGACAGAACCUUCCUUCCCUAAGAGAAAGCUGAGACUUAUCCUCCGGUGAAGGGAGUGCAGUCUGCUCUGAGCAGGGGAGCUGCAUUGCUGUGCAAUAACGGUGUGCAAUUAUGUAAGAAAGAAAUAUCUCAGAGGGACAGAAAAAUAAAAGGAAGAAAGAAAAUAGAGAAGUGAGUAGGCUUGGCCCGCUGAGUGGAGAGCACUGGGCAUGCCAGGACAUCCUCUCAGGGCCACUAGGAUGUUUGUGGAGAAGAAAGCAUUUCACUUUUCAUAUCCUAACUGUAUUAAACAGUGGAGGGAGCAUGAGAUUGCUUGCAUGGGUUUUCUGACUCUGUCCCAAGGGGCUAAAAGUUGGGUACUCAUCCACAUCCAAAACCAAGAAAAUUUCUCAGAAUGAAACUUUCAUUUAAAAGUUUGACUUCCAGGACACUCUCUGAGGAAUGAGAAAUUUUUAUUGCAUUUUCUUUGAUUCAAAAUUGUAUUUCCCAUCUCAAAGGUAACUUUCCUGAACACUGAAGUGUGAGUGGGAAGAGAAAUCUUUCACAUUCUUAGCUGAAACAUUCAGAUGAGUGAAAAUGAAUCAAAGUUUACUGGGGGGAAUAAAGGAGACAAAGAGGUAGAGCAUGAUUUGAGCACCCAGGUUCAGGGUCCUUAGGAGAAGUCCUGGGCCACAAUAUUCUGUGUCAAAGAGCAGUUGCGUGUUUUAUACUAAAGAAAAACUGUCCAAGCAACAGAGACACCAAAACUCUAAGUUUUUUUAUCCUAAACUGAUGUCCUAACAUUGUACUAGAAUAUUUCUUUGUCCUAUUGUCUUCUCUUCUUUUGAUUCAGCAAUCCCCUUUAUAGAGCGACACAGCUUGGAUGGAGAGAAAGGGAGAGAGGAUGUGGAGUGAAGGGUCUGUGUCAAAGACUAUAACUUGCCCUUUGCAUCAGGCUGUGCUCCCACAGUUGAGACAUUAUCCUCAGAUCCAUCUUUCCUGGAUCUGAAGAUUGAAUUGAACUGCAGGUUCUUCUGCCUGGGUGAAAACCUCCUAGAGUGAAUCUAUUAAAAAAAAAAAAAAAAGUGCAUUUGUUCUCCUGUGUCUUUUGCAAGAAAAAGUGCUUUCUACUACUUCUUGGAAGGAAUUGUUUCCUGUUAGAUUGUUUUAGAAACACUCCAGCCAAGCCUCCCAGAAUAGAUGUCACAUUAAACAGUGAAUAUUAAGAAGAAGAAGAAUGCUAAGUAGAGGAAGGCCCAGUUUCUGAAUCUAAACAGGGCUUAGACAUGAGUGGCAGAGACCUGGCCUAAAGCCUGGUGAUGGUUAACACCCACACAAAUUUUAUUCUCUUCCCUCUUCACUUCUCAAAGUAGAAUGUACCCAGUAACAUAUUAUAACUUCUUAAUAAUUUCCAAAUGCUUGGAUUCUUUGCUCUGUUUUCAUGUUUAGAUACCUUCUAUUGAACUUUUGUAUUCACUUCUGCCUCUAGUUUGUUCUUUUUCAGUUGUCCCUAGCAUACAGCUGAGACUCAGUUUCCUGACUGCCUGCUCAGAAGAAAGGUGAGUCUUUGACUUUGGCUGCUCUUAACAUCACCCUGGCCUGAUUUCUCCCAAAAGGCCCAGGGUUAGGCCAUGUGUAAGUAGGGAUUGCUGGAAUUGCAAUUGUGGGUGCAAGUGCCUAAAUGCUUCUAAAAGCCCCUACUCAGCACUGUAAGGUUGAAAUCAAUAAAGUAAAGCCAGGAGGUUCUGAGGCAGAUAUGAAAAUUUUGAGGUAAGGAGUUUAAAUAAGUGCCUACUGGUGUUUCCUUUUCAUGAUGGGAUAGUAAUUCAUUCAUGCUGGAAGCCUUUGUACAGGGACUGUAUGAAGUCUUUAAUUAAAGUUGAUUAAAAUGGUAAUUUUGAACCCUGAUAGUUUAGAAUUUUUUCUCUCCUUGCUCCACAUCUGAAAACCUUUAAACUACUUCAGUGAACUGCAACCUAAGUAAUCCUGCUCCUAUUUUUAGGGACAUAAGCCCCGGCUUCAGCAGGGCCAUGGCAGUUGGAAUAAGAAGAUUUUCCAAAUGUGGAGGAUUAGCCUUUGCAGCAGUUGUAUGACAAAGCAAUAUAGUUGCCAGUGAUAACAAGGAGGAGGAAAGAAUUUAUAAUUUAUUACAUAUUCAUAUUUGCCUUUUUUAACACAGCAAUCUGUGAAAAUGCAUCCAAAAUAAUUCCAUGGUUUUUGUUUGUUUUGUUUUUGUUUGUGUGUUUUUUAAUUACUCAGAGCUUUCAGUUCCACAAAUGUCUCACCUCACUGCAGAGCAGAAUAGAUGAGUACUGAAUGCCAGCUCUGUCCUGGAAUUGAGAACACUAAGCAUCACAGUUUGUGUCCUGUCUAAUCCUCUGGUGUGGAGCUAACCUGCUGAGACCUAAAAGCUCCUCUCUUCCUGGUACUGAUCUUUGUAAUCAUGAGGAAAGCAGCUAAUUAAAUACACAGAUGAAGGGACAUUUUAUUAUUCAGCUCUUGGAUAUCUAUACUAGCUUUACUCUUCCUGUAAAAUCCAUGCUCCAGCUGAGCAAGUGAACUAGUGCCCUUAAAUUUUAUGGCAUCAAUCCUCCACUGGUGAACAUGCAAGAUGGCAAAGGAGAUAAAUUACUGAAACAGCAAACCAGCAGAGGAUAGUGCAGAAGGCCAAGAAGUAAACUUGUCAUUAAAGCAAAAAACUCGCAACUUUCUCCCUUACACGCCUCAAAAAAACCACCCAAAACUCAAAGCUCUGUUAUAGUCCAUCCAGUGAAACAGACAGGGUUUCAGAACUAGAGUAGAUAACACAAGGUAAGAAAUGUGGAGCUUUGUAUUUUCACAGAUUUGGGAUAAAUCUCCCUUUUCCGUUGCAGAAAUUUUCAAUGUAAAAAGAUGACAACAGAGAUAUCACCUAUUCUUGGUUACCUGAAUUUAAAUGUUCAUCUGGUCCUGCAUACAUUGCCUUGAGGUUCACACUCUGUAGACUUUUCAGAGAUCUCCCUUUAUUGACACAAACAUCCACAAAACUUUAGACCCAUGUAUAAGUGUUUACAGCUCCUAGGGAAUUCAUUUCUCUUUAUGUCACCUUGUGGCAUGAAGAAGCUAUCAGUUCCUGAGAGAAUACCCCGUUGUGCACAUACUGCAAGCUGCUGGAAUAAUUUUGUGCCAUUUGCCCUUCUUUUGGUGCCUUAGGUCUCACAGCAAGAUGUUGAGGUCAGCAGGAAAACAGGAGAGUCUUAAACCCCUGAAGGCUUCUUUAAAGUAUGAUAAUAGGUGGUGGGUAGGUGAAACAGCCAAUCAGAAACUCCAGUAAAGGAAGUCCCAGGAAUCCUUCCUUUUCCACACCAGUGCUUGCUGCAGGGUGGUGUAAAAGCACAGCAAAAAGGCAAUGUUCCAGAUGCUGUGUUUACUCCUAUGGAGAGUCUCAUGCAUUUUUCUGGACAAAAAGAUACUUUGUGUUUUCAACCAAAUAAAACCAGUAAACACAUGUGUGUCUUCCUUAGUGAGUUUAACUGGUACUUAUUAUGAACAAUUCUGAUUUUUAAUCUAUUUCACUGGGUCUGGACGUUAGUAAGGUUUUGAUCCUCUGAUACAGACCCAUGGUCAAAGUCACAAAGGCAUCUUUGGUGCUGAGAGAUGCACCUAGUAGGAUUUGUAAAGCACCUAAAUGAUGCAGACACCAAAUUUUAAUUGCUUGGGCAGAAUCCUAAAAGAGACAUCUCCACUAGAUGACAAAUUAUGUAAAAAUCUGUUGUGAUAUCUCCUAAGUUUCAGGUGUCAGACCUAUCAUUCCUAUAAAAGAGUCCUAAAUUUUAGUUGAGGAAUCUGAGGUUUUUACAGGCUUCAUGGGAGACUCCGGCCCUUCUCUUUGCUUUGUGACAUGCACCUUGUCAAUGCCUAGAGUUAGUCAACUCUAGUUGACUAAAAAAGUUUUAAGUGAAAUAUCUGAAAUACUGUUAAUUCUUGUGACUUAGGACUCAGAUGCAGGCUUCCAGGACGUUUUGAUCAGUUCUGCAGCUACAGAUAAGGUAGAUUUUUUUGUUUGUUAGGUUUUUUUUUGUUUGUUUUUCCUUUUCCUCUGAGAUUGGAGAAAUCUUUGGCAUCAGCUUUCUUUUUCCUAGGCAUUACCUUGAGCAUUAGCCUGCAUGGUGGUCAGGCAAGACCAGACUUUGAGCUACAGUAAACUCAGACAUUCAGUGUGAAUAAAUACCAGAUACCAUAAACCAGAGAGGAGUGUAUAAGCAAAUAGUUUUGGGUGCUAAAGUAAGGUGUACAACUCAAAAAGUAGAUUUCUGGUCCCAGCUCUUGCUGUGGAAACUUCUUUAGAAUUUUUAACCCACUGGCUAAUAAGAGGGUGAGAAAUUGAGGAUUACUCAAUUAAUUGAUUUCCCAGGAUUAUCAAAAAAAUUACUCCUAAUACUCCUUGCUGUAUAUUCUUUUCCCCUAAUGAUGCCACUCAAGUUUCUUGCAAUGCAGUGCAGAAAAGGCAGCAUGUUGUCCAUGGCAGUUUGUCCAUCCUAUCAGGCUCAUUCAUGCUAUUCUCUUGGAUAUGUGGGUUGGACUUCCCUCAAGUUAAGGAUUCAGUAGUAUUUAAUGCAAUGUUCCCUACCUGUUCUGCCACGGAAAACAUCUACUUCUGCUGCCUCAACUGUACAGAAAUAGUUCCCUUCCUUACUUUGCAAGUGCAUUGAAUACCUCUGCUAGAGUGGGGUCUUCAGCAGGUGUGGAGAGUGUGCUAGGCACCAACGUGCAUACAAUGGGCAUAUGCUGAAGACACAGGAGCCUAGAAGAACGCUUAAUUAGGAGGCAUCUAACAAAGUUGAUAUGCCUCGAAAUUAAGUGACAGAAGGAUGCUGCCUUUGAAUUUGAUAGGAAGUUUCAGUUCCUAGAGAGGCACUUAUCUGAUUCUUUGAAGAAUUAAUUGCAAGUUUAGCUUUGGAGUUCUUCUGCCCUCUGAACCCUAAGUAUAGAAAUAAAAGCUUUUUCUUUACUUAUGCCUUUACUAACAGCACUCUGAUGGUUCAGUUUGUCCUCUAAGGAGCCUCAAGGCUUCACUUAUGCUGUGGCAGUCUGGUUUGACAUGUUUGUCAACUUAAACAUCAGCAUGCCACUGCAGCAGAACGCUGGUGAUUUAGGUGUAAAAUAAAAUUAAGAUAAAAAUAGUGCAGGGAAAUUUCACAUAAUGUGAGAGACCCUAUUCUGGCAUAAUUCCAUGCCCUUCAGAAUAUCCUUCCAUUAAACCGAUUGCAAAGCUUAUAUGCACUAGAAAUUGAAAGGCAAUGUGGGUUUAUCACGUAAUCUUCAAUAUUAGUUUGUCCUUUUUUAUUAUUAUGUGGAACACUUUAGUGGAGUCUCUUCAGAGAUGAUAUAAUUUCAUUCUUGGUUUUCCAUUUUAGAGUUGUCAGUGGAACAAGUAUUCUUCAUAGAUCAUUUUGACCUGAGGUCUCCUCAUCAACAAUGAGGACCAAACUCUGAAAUAUGUUCAGCUUUCUUUUGAAUGUGUCAUGAAUUUGCUAAUCUUCAGUUCACCCUCUAUGCCACUUGGAUAAAUUAUAAGCCGAGAGAUCCUGUAAAUGAUGAGCAGCAUCUCUAUUUCUCUCUCUUUUUUAGUACUUUUUCCUUGCAGCAGAGAUUUGUUUCAUGCACAAUCAUUUUAAUUUGUCAGAAUAUGCGUUAGGCAUUUUGAGUAA